RNAcentral lists this small RNA (1597 nucleotides) under Cryptococcus neoformans H99. Its description in RNAcentral is "Cryptococcus neoformans var. grubii H99 hypothetical RNA". The record is from RNAcentral. Lineage: Eukaryota; Fungi; Basidiomycota; Tremellomycetes; Tremellales; Cryptococcaceae.
ACGCUACACUUUACACUUUACACAUUAUACCCUUCCUCCCCAAAGAUCAAAACCCAGCCAAAGCCCUAAGGAAUGAAGAGCAAAUUGAUUAAAAAUCAAACAAAUCCCUUUCUAUCAACCUCCCAGCCUUCAGCCUUGAGCUGAUGCAAGUUAACGGGUGUGAGUGGCAUACCGGUUUGGAGGUAAUGGAUAAUGUUUUCGAGGACUUCGCCUGUUAAGGAUGGGCCUAUGGAGUCGGGAGCGGGGGCGACGUGGGGAGAUAGGAUCUGAAGGAAGAAAUGCAGGGAGAGGGUGGGUCAGCAAUGUCUGGAUGCGGGGGGAAAAUAUGGGAAAGAAAGGGGACAGGGGAAAGAAGAGGAGAGGAGAAAAGGGAGAAGAGAGGGGAGAGAGAGAAGGACGUACGACAUUGGGAUUCGUGAGGAGAUUUGGGUGGACGGCAGCAAAGGAAGAAGAGCAAGAAACGCAAGAUGAGAAACCCAAAGCGAAAAAUGAAAACGAAAAACCCACCUUUGCCGCUCUCCAAAGCCUCCACCAAAUCGUCCUCCUUCACGACCUUUCCCCGACUCACAUUGACCAAAAUCACGCCAUCUUUCAUCUUUCCAAACGCUUCCCGCCCAAUCAUACCUUCUGUCUCUUUUGUCAAUGGGCAUGUGAGGAUGAUGACAUUCGACUGGGCGUAAAGAUCGUCCCGAUUGGGAAGGUAUGUCCAUUCUGGAUUGGAUGCGGCGUGGAGGGAUGGGCGGCGGGAAUGGUAGAGGAUGGAAGUGGCGCCGAUGGAGGAUAGAAGGAAAGCGAGGUGGGAUCCGAUUGAUCCAAGGCCUAUGAUGCCUAUCUGUAUUCGUCUGAAUUAAUGUUCAUCCGUCCUGUAAAGAGAUGUGAAGAAGAACAAUCAUCGCCUACGACUUACUUUGGCGGUCUUCCAAUCAACAGUUCUGACGCCCCUAUCUACCCAUACUCCCUUCCUUACACUCAUAUCAUACCUCACAACUCCCCUCAUUGCCGCCAACGUCAGUACCAGUGCCCCUUCGGCCGUUCUCUUGCCCACAAUGGUGGGUGCAUUGGCGUACAUGGCUCCGACGGAAGUAAACCAUGGGACGUCGACUUUGUCAUAACCCGCCCCGGGACCGACGAAGAGCUUGCAGGAUGGUAAAAGUGGGGAGAGAAGGGUGGCGUCCCAUCGAUUCGGGACGGUGUCUGUACUAAUUAUAUUUAGAUGACUCACCCCAAAAGCGACAAAGCCUCCACCGACUUGUUCCACUUUUUGUUUGAUCAACUCUACCGUCUCGUCGUACGUAACUUUGGGAAGAGUAUGUACCUCGGCGAUUUGGUGGAUCUGCUUAUCAAAGGUUUCGUGGCCGCCCAGGUCGCCAAUAAAGAGGACUUUGGGUUUGUUUGUAGAGGAUGGAUAUGAGGAUGCGGGUGGUGGUGUGGAUGGAGAGGAGGAGGGGGGUGAUGAGAAGUAGACUGACGAGGAAAAGGAGGAGGGGCUUGAAAAGGACAUGGUGUUGUUGAUUAUUGUUGAUCGUGGUGCGAUGUAUAGUAGGACCCUCGAGUGGCUAUGCAGAUACUGUCGUGCGUUGUAUGUGGUGUAUGAAAA